GGGUGAGUAACGCGUGGGUGACCUGCCCGGGAGAUCGGGAUAACAGUUCGAAAGGGCUGCUAAUACCGGAUGAUAUCUUUUCUUUUCGGAGGGGAGAUCAAAGCGUUUAGCGCUCUCGGAUGGGCCCGCGUCCCAUUAGUUAGUUGGUGGGGUAAUGGCCUACCAAGGCAGCGAUGGGUAGCCGGUCUGAGAGGAUGUUCGGCCACACUAGGACUGAGACACGGCCCAUACUUAGUUGGUGGGGUAAUGGCCUACCAAGGGCAGCGAUGGGUAGCCCGGUCUGAGAGGAUGUUCGGUCACACUAGGACUGAGACACGGGCCCAGACUCCUACGGGAGGCAGCAGUGGGGAAUUUUGCGCAAUGGGGGAAACCUUGACGCAGCGACGCCGCGUGAGUGAUGAAGGCCUUCGGGUUGUAAAGCUCUGUUGGGGGGGAAGAUAGUGACGGUACCCCCUGAGGAAGCCCCGGCUAACUACGUGCCAGCAGCCGCGGUAAGACGUAGGGGGCGAGCGUUGUCCGGAAUUACUGGGCGUAAAGGGCGUGUAGGCGGCCUUUCAAGUCGGCUGUGAAAUUCCUUGGCUUAACUGAGGGUGUGCAGUCGAAACUGAUGGGCUUGAGUGCAGGAGAGGGUGGUGGAAUUCCCGGUGUAGCGGUGACAUGCGUAGAUAUCGGGAGGAACACCGGUGGCGAAGGCGGCCUCCUGGUCUGUUACUGACGCUGAGGCGCGAAAGCCGGGGGAGCAAACAGGAUUAGAUACCCUGGUAGUCCCGGCCGUAAACUCUGGGUACUAGGUGUAGGGGGCUUCGAUGCCUUCUGUGCCGUAGUUAACGCAUUAAGUACCCCGCCUGGGGAGUACGAUCGCAAGGUUGAAACUCAAAGGAA
RNAcentral lists this ribosomal RNA (882 nucleotides) under uncultured bacterium. Its description in RNAcentral is "bacterial SSU rRNA". It matches the Rfam family "Bacterial small subunit ribosomal RNA", at positions 104 to 909 of the family's 1533-position model. The record is from RNAcentral.